AUCCGGUUGAUGAGUCUUAAAUAGGACGAAACGCGUGUCCUGGAU
RNAcentral lists this non-coding RNA (45 nucleotides) under Schistosoma margrebowiei. Lineage: Eukaryota; Metazoa; Platyhelminthes; Trematoda; Strigeidida; Schistosomatidae. The record is from RNAcentral.